UACGAAGGGGGCUAGCGUUGUUCGGAAUCACUGGGCGUAAAGAGCUCGUAGGCGGUCUGUCGCGUCGGCUGUGAAAUCCCGAGGCUCAACCUCGGGUCUGCAGUCGAUACGGGCAAACUUGAGUGUUGCAGGGGAGACUGGAAUUCCUGGUGUAGCGGUGAAAUGCGCAGAUAUCAGGAGGAACACCGGUGGCGAAGGCGGGUCUCUGGGCAACAACUGACGCUGAGGAGCGAAAGCGUGGGGAGCGAACAGG
This 253-nucleotide ribosomal RNA is filed under the name uncultured bacterium. Its description in RNAcentral is "partial 16S ribosomal RNA". It matches the Rfam family "Bacterial small subunit ribosomal RNA", at positions 524 to 776 of the family's 1533-position model. The record is from RNAcentral.